CAUGGCUGUCGUCAGCUCGUGUUGUGAAAUGUUGGGUUAAGUCCCGCAACGAGCGCAACCCUUAUCCUUAGUUGCCAGCGAGUAAUGUCGGGAACUCUAGGGAGACUGCCGGUGAUAAACCGGAGGAAGGUGGGGACGACGUCAAGUCAUCAUGGCCCUUACGAGUAGGGCUACACACGUGCUACAAUGGUACGUACAGAGGGAGGCAAGCUGGCGACAGUGAGCGGAUCUCUUAAAGCGUAUCGUAGUCCGGAUCGCAGUCUGCAACUCGACUGCGUGAAGUCGGAAUCGCUAGUAAUCGCAAAUCA
RNAcentral lists this ribosomal RNA (308 nucleotides) under Rheinheimera sp. Expt2_P14WB_H04. RNAcentral's name for it is "bacterial SSU rRNA". It matches the Rfam family "Bacterial small subunit ribosomal RNA", at positions 1044 to 1351 of the family's 1533-position model. Lineage: Bacteria; Pseudomonadati; Pseudomonadota; Gammaproteobacteria; Chromatiales; Chromatiaceae. The record is from RNAcentral.